AUACGUAGGGGGCGAGCGUUGUCCGAAGUUACUGGGCGUAAAGCGCGCGUAGGCGGGCACUUAAGUCGGAUGUGAAAUCUCCACGGCUCAACCGGGAAAUUGCAUCCGAAACUGGGCGCCUUGAGGUAUGGAGAGGGAAGUGGAAUUCCUGGUGUAGCGGUGAAAUGCGUAGAUAUCAGGAGGAACACCCGUGGCGAAGGCGGCUUCCUGGCCAUAUCCUGACGCUGAGGUGCGAAAGCCAGGGGAGCGAACGGGAUUAGAUACCCCGGUAGUCCUGGCCGUAAACGAUGGAUACUAGGUGUUAGUGGUAUCGACCCCACUAGUGCCGUAGCUAACGCAUUAAGUAUCCCGCCUGGGGAGUACGGCCGCAAGGUUGAA
Molecule: ribosomal RNA, 378 nt
Filed under: uncultured bacterium
Lineage: Bacteria
Description: bacterial SSU rRNA
Rfam family: Bacterial small subunit ribosomal RNA
Source: RNAcentral